AGGCCCUGCAGAAGGUAGGACAAAGGUCCGAACGCGGAGCCGGGGGCAAGCCCCGCGCGUCUCCCCACCUCCCAGCUCCAUCCCGGACCCCAAACCAGAGGGGCGAGGGCACGUUUGUUUUUCCAAUACGAGAGAACCGACGGAUUAUGAAGAAGCGGGCCAACCUCACGUUAAUCUUUGAGCCGAGUCUGGAGGACGUGCUCCUUUCUGACAGCCUACUUUGUCAUCGCUGCUCCCAGUCACAGCUGAAUCUGUCAACAUGAUGGCUUCACCUACUCGCCAUGCACAGCCUAGAGCUGCAAAUCCCGGUUGGAGUAGAUAAAUUCCCUGCCUCUUCGAUGGAGCUAUGGAUUUCAGGUGUUGCUUUAUGUGCUCCAGUCAAUUUGCAUGAAGCUAGUACAAGAAAGGAACCACAUCACUUACGUCUGUGAACUUUCUGGAACAAAAAUCUGGCACAUCAGUCUGUUACUUUAUCCAUUACAAUGUGAGUACCCAGUAGCAAUCUUUCUUCCAGAGCUUCUGAUCCGUAGCCAAAUGUAUGAUCCGUCAGUUGGGUCAUGUUGCAAACUUUGUGUUACAAUCAACACUUUGGAAAAUGUAUCAUCACUGUCCUAGUCUUCAGAAGCAUGAUUCCUGUGGGGUUAGGGAAAAGAAAAGCCCCCAAUAAAUCCCCUUUCCUACUGCCUUGAGCCAACCUUUUAAGCUGCUCUGUCCUUUCUGGGGUGGAUAAGUGAACACUGGGCCUUUCUGCUUUAAAAAAAAAAAAAACAACACCAUAAAAACAAGACAUGA
Long non-coding RNA from Herpailurus yagouaroundi (jaguarundi), 792 nucleotides. RefSeq lists it as uncharacterized. The transcript is spliced from 2 exons. NCBI's taxonomy places the organism in Eukaryota, Metazoa, Chordata, Mammalia, Carnivora, Felidae. The record is from RefSeq and is a predicted model, not a curated record.